UCUGGUUGAUCCUGCCAGUAGUGAUAUGCUUGUUUCAAAGAUUAAGCCAUGCAUGUCUAAGUAUAAGCGAACUUAUACAGUGAAACUGCGGAUGGCUCAUUAAAACAGUUUGAAUUUAUUUGAUGAAUGUAUGAGAAUACUACUUGGAUAACCGUAGUAAUUCUAGAGCUAAUACAUGCAACGACGCCCGACCGUUUCACUACGGAAGGGCUGUAUUUAUUGGAUACCAAAACCAUCCUUCCCUCGGGAAGUUUUGUUUGAUGAUUCACAAUAACUGAUCGGAUCGCCACUGUGGUGGCGACAGGUCAUUCAACAUUCUGCCCUAUCAGCUUUCGAUGGUUGUGUAGUGGACAACCAUGGCCAUAACGGGUAACGGAGAAUCAGGGUUCGAUUCCGGAGAAGGAGCUUGAGAAUUGGCUACUACAUCUAAGGAAGGCAGCAGGCGCGCAAAUUACCCAAUCCCGAUUCGGGGAGGUAGUGACAAAAAAUAACAAUACCGGGCCUUUUUGGGCUUGGUAAUUGGAAUGAGGGAGAGUUAAACGGACCAUCGAGUAUCCAUUGGAGGGCAAGUCUGGUGCCAGCAGCUGCGGUAAUACCAGCUCCAAUAGCGUAUAUUAAAGUUGUUGCAGUUAAAAAGCUCGUAGUUGGACUUGUGUGCGCUGUCCGCGGGUGGCCUGCGCCCAAAAGGGCGUUUCGGUUCGGCCCCGGUGGCGCCUUGAAAUCUGCAGCUGGGGGGACGUUGGCCUUAACUGGUCGGCGACCGCACGCCGGCUGCUCGGUUACUGUGAGAAAAUUAGAGUGUUCAAGGCAGGCAUUGGGUGCAAUUGAAUACAUUAGCAUGGAAUAAUAAAAUAUGGCUCCUGCCGUAUUUUGUUGGUUUUGACUGGUGGGAGUAAUGAUUGAUAGGGACGGUUGGGGGUGCUAGUAUUGAGCGGCCAGAGGUGAAAUUCAUGGAUUCGCUCAAGACUAACUUAUGCGAAAGCAUUCACCAAGGACGUCCUCUUUAAUCAAGAACGAAAGUUGGGGGAUCGAAGACGAUCAGAUACCGUCGUAGUCUCAACCAUAAACUAUGUCGACUUGGGAUCGGCGGUAGUUUUUUCAUUAAGACACUGUCGGGACCACGGGAGAAAUCAAAGUGUCUGGACUCUGGGGGAAGUAUGGUCGCAAGGCUGAAGCUUGAAGGAAUUGACGGAAGGGCACCACCAGGAGUGGAGCCUGCGGCUUAAUUUGGCCCAACACGGGGAGACUUACCAGGUCCAGAGAUGUAGAGGAUUGACAGAUUGAAGCUCUUUCUUGAUCACUUCGGUGGUGGUGCAUGGCCGUUCUUAGUUGGUGGAGUGAUUUGUCUGGUUA
Molecule: ribosomal RNA, 1353 nt
Filed under: metagenome
Description: SSU rRNA
Rfam family: Eukaryotic small subunit ribosomal RNA
Source: RNAcentral